Molecule: ribosomal RNA, 468 nt
Filed under: uncultured bacterium
Lineage: Bacteria
Description: partial 16S ribosomal RNA
Rfam family: Bacterial small subunit ribosomal RNA
Source: RNAcentral
GACGAACGCUGGCGGCGUGCUUAACACAUGCAAGUCGAACGGAAAGGCCCUGCUUUCUUGUGGUGCCCGAGUCGCGAACGGGUGAGUAACCCGGGAGUAAGCUGCCCUUGACGUUGGGAUAACUUCAGGAAUCUGGGGCUAAUACCUGAUAGGUGCGCCUGCUGCAUGGUGGGGGUUGGAAAGUUUCGGCGGUUGGGGGUAGACUCGGGGUUUAUCAGCUUGUUGGUUGGGUAGUGGCUUACCAAGGCGUUGACCGGUAGCCGGCCUGAGAGGGUGACCGCGGACAAUGGUACUACGAUACGCCGCAGACUCGAACAGGAGACAACAGUGGGGAAUAUUACACAGUGGGCCGAAGCCUGAUGCGGCAACGCCGCGUGCGGGAAGACGGCCUUCGGGUUGUGAACCGCAUUAGGCUGUGACGUAGCGGGAGUGACGGUAAUGAGUGAAGAAGCACCGGCUAACUACGUG